RNAcentral lists this ribosomal RNA (400 nucleotides) under uncultured bacterium. RNAcentral describes it as "partial 16S ribosomal RNA". It matches the Rfam family "Bacterial small subunit ribosomal RNA", at positions 360 to 776 of the family's 1533-position model. The record is from RNAcentral.
AAUAUUGGACAAUGGGCGCAAGCCUGAUCCAGCCAUGCCGCGUGAGUGAUGAAGGACUUAGGGUUGUAAAGCUCUUUUAGCAGGGACGAUAAUGACGGUACCUGCAUAAAAAACCUCGGCCACCUUCGUGCCUGCAGACGCGGUAAUACGAAGGGGGCUAGCGUUGACAGGAAUCACGGGCCGUAAAGCGCACGUAGGUGGGUGGUUAAGUCGGGGGUGAAAUCCCAGAGCUCAACUCUGGAACUGACUUCGAUACUGGCGACCUUCGAGUUCGGGAGAGGUGAGUGGAACUGCGAGUGUAGAGGUGAAAUUCGUAGAUAUUCGCAAGAACACCAGUGGCGAAGGCGGCUCACUGGCCCGAUACUGACACUGAGGUGCGAAAGCGUGGGGAGCAAACAGG